Molecule: ribosomal RNA, 181 nt
Filed under: Olea europaea subsp. europaea
Lineage: Eukaryota; Viridiplantae; Streptophyta; Magnoliopsida; Lamiales; Oleaceae
Description: LSU_rRNA_bacteria
Source: RNAcentral
UCUCUAAGGAAUUCGACAAAAUUGCCCCACAACUUUGGGAGAAGGGAGGCCUCUUCACAAAGGGGUUGUAGUGACUAGGUUUGGCUAAUUGUUUACCAAAAACACGUUUUCACAAAGUUGUAAGAUCAUGGGGUUAAAACCCCAAAUGGCCACUGAAAUUUGCCCCAAGUCCCCCAGGAGG